CCAUUCAAUGUUCUGUGAUCAUUCCUUUAUCUGUUUCAUUUUAUAAGACUUACUUUUGAGUCUUGUCUUUGCACAAAAAGAAAUCAAAUGAUAUCCAGUCCAUGUUCUACUAUCAGUGGCAGCUGUAAGCAAUUGAGAAAUACCAAUCCACACGCCGAUUUGGUGGCUGUUUGGUAACAAGAAGAGGUUAACACUUGCGGUCUAACCCUAAAAUAAACCGUUCAUUUGCAAAAACCGCUAUGUAGUUUCAACUUCAAACGCCACUCUCUCUCUCUCAACCCAGACUUUUUAGGGGAAGGGACUGAAACAAGAUACAUCAAUCAAUACAAGUAUUGAUUUGACAGCAAUCGACGCGGGAAUGAUCUAAUUGGGAAAUUUCGACACAUGAAGUUAAAAUCCCUGUAAAAUAUACAUAGAUAUGGAGAAAGGUGUUAGUGCUUGGUGAUAAUACUGUACAACGUAUGUAGAUACAGAGAAACGUGUUUGUGCUGUUGAUCUUGAAUUAUCGCAAUUGCUGUGAUAGUGGAUCUGUAUAUUCUCCAUAUUUCCUAGUUUAGGAAACGAUUUUUCGUUUGAAGAUUCGGGAUUGACGGAUGUUGUAAAUGAGUUGCACAUGGGGCCUCCACCAGUAACCAGUUUGGGAGAUUCUUUAACUAGUACAGACCAAAAGCAGAAAAUGGUAAGAAAGAAGAAACAAGGUAACGUUGUUGAGCAUGAAGGUCCUGAUUUUUCAAUCGAUAAUUCUGCAUCAGAGGCGGGUGUGACUAUAAAGCACCCAUUACGUGAGUCCGCAGCUUUGCCUAGUUUGUUAAGUUGCCAAACAAUUGUAGUGUGUGAUUCAACAAAGAAAAAUGGAGAGAGCAAACGGAAGAAAACAGAGCAUAAUGCUGUUGAAAGCAAUGUUAAUGAUUGCAGUGCACCAGAAAAUACUUUUUCAUCAAGAUCUUCCACAUCUGGUUUGGAUAUGCCUUCAGAACAUCCAAUUCAAUGUGUUUUAAUUGAUUCAGUAGCAAGACAAUCUUGUGUGGACGAGGGUAUUUGUCAAGGACAUCAUGAAGAAAACGAGCAGAAUAUGAUCAAUAAGACUGCAGGAAACAGCUGUGGACAGUGUGACGUUCAAAAAGGAAGCUGCAACCAUGAUUCAGUUGUAACAAAUCCUGAGCAUUUUGCAAAGGAGAGUGUGUUAGAAGUUGUGAAAUUGAACAUAGAGCAAGGUAUAAAUGAUAACAGUUCCAACCCUGAGGAUAAGAAUGGUAUUGUAAAAAAUACAAGUCUGGUGAGGAAAAAUUAUCACUACCCAGCAGUUUAUGACAUAUCUGAUAAAAAACAGUGUGUUAAGACCUAUUCAAGGAGAAAACCAGUUAAUUCCAAUUGUAGGAGAAGCAGUGGCCACCCAAGUCUUGAAAAUUGUAACAAUGAACCAACUAUGCAGGACCAUCACGGGGAUGAUUCAUAUAAAUUUUCUGAUGGACCAUUGACAGUUGGCUUGAUGGAUAGAGAAACAAAACUUUCGAAUGAUGAAGUUACCUAUCAAAGUGGAGCUGCAACUGAGGAAAUGAAUUUGAGAACAGACAACACUUGUGAGCAAAGAUUUAUGACUACAUCUUCUGUAGUAGACAUCCCUGCCCCUGGGGAGCAACUUGAAACAAGUGGUGGACAGCUAGAUCAUACUGAAAUUACAAGAAAUGAUCUGUGUUGUGCAGGUGAUGUUUCUGAUUUAAGCUCAGUCAAAGUAAAAGAUGGUCAUUCAAAGAUUUCACAAUUCUUACUGGACAGAACUGUUGCCAGCAACACAAAGAAUAAACUUCUCAUACUUGAUGUGAAUGGACUUCUUGCUGAUUUUGUCAGUGAUACUGGUAGAAGAUAUGGACCAGAACCAGAGCCAGAUUUUUGGCUUAAAAGGAGAAAAGUUUACAAGAGGCCCUUUUGUGAUGAUUUUCUACAGUUUUGCUUUGACAAAUUUCAUGUGGGGAUUUGGUCAUCUAGAGCCAAGAGGAAUGUUGAUGAAGCAAUUGAAUUUCUAAUUGGGAAAUCUGCAUCAAAACUGCUCUUUUGUUGGGAUUUUCCACACCAUCAAUUGAAUGCUUUUUUAUUAUCAUUACCAAACAGAACCAGCCUUGUAAUUCUAGUUGUCAUUAGUUUCAAUUGUGUGUGUGUGUGUAGAGAGAGAGAGAGAGACAGACAGACACAGACACAGACAGAGAUUUCAGUUUGGACAAAAUGGAAAUGGUUUGAUGUUAUAAACUAUAAUUGCAUUUUAGUAAAUUAGUUUGUUAUUCAUAGCAUCAUUAAAGAUGCAGUUAUAACUUGUAAACGGUUAGCGGUAGAAGUUCAUUCCUACUUGGAAUUUCUCUAGACACUAUUAAUCUUUAGAUAAUCUUUUAUGUAGAAUCAGUCCCACUGUACUAUUACUGAAUUCACCACUGUUGAGAAUAGAAACAAGCCGCUGGUUUUGAAGGAACUUGUAAAGUUGUGGGAAAAAUCGGAACCUGGUUUACCAUGGGAGAAGGGAGAGUUUAAUGAGUCAAACACAUUAUUAUUGGAUGACUCUCCAUACAAAGCACUAGUGAAUCCUAGGCAUACAGCAAUAUUUCCUUAUUCUUACCGGUACUACGACACCACAGACUCGUCAUUAGGACCAGAAGGUGAUCUUCGGGUUUAUCUAGAAGGGCUGGCUAUGGCUGAUAAUGUUCAAGAGUACGUGUCAGCAAAUCCAUUUGGUCAAAGGCCCAUAAGAGAAACAAAUCCAUCUUGGGGUUACUACCGUAAAGUCAUUGAAGCUGUUAAAACAGCCAAAAUGCUAGCUAGGCACUCAUCACCAGGUAGGGAGCCAACUGCUAACAGAACAAUGCACAAUGAAAAAUGUUAAGACAAUUCUCAUUCGUGUUGAUACAAGCAGUGCGUAGUUCUUACCUCUGUUGAGUUUUGGUUGGUCAGGUGUCUAAAAUAUAUCAGUUAGGUAUAUAGCUGCUGUUAAGCCGCAUAUAGUUCUACUGUGAUUAAAACCUACUUCAGGGUAGUGCACACACUGUAUUGUGUGUUAAACUCAUUUCUGCCUUGGUCAUGAGCUGUUUUGUUCAAUAGAUAGAAAUUUUGAAAGUUACUAUCAUAAUAUCACAUAAAUUUAGGCUUAAAUGUGAUUUUGAUUACUCUAAAUAUGAUAAGUUUCUCG
This is an RNA transcript of Abrus precatorius (Indian licorice), 3172 nucleotides long. RefSeq lists it as uncharacterized. The record is from RefSeq and is a predicted model, not a curated record. The transcript has 7 exons. NCBI's taxonomy places the organism in Eukaryota, Viridiplantae, Streptophyta, Magnoliopsida, Fabales, Fabaceae.